Molecule: ribosomal RNA, 468 nt
Filed under: uncultured bacterium
Lineage: Bacteria
Description: partial 16S ribosomal RNA
Rfam family: Bacterial small subunit ribosomal RNA
Source: RNAcentral
GACGAACGCUGGCGGCGUGCUUAACACAUGCAAGUCGAACGGAAAGGCCCUGCUUUUGUGGGGUGCUCGAGCGGCGAACGGGUGAGUAACACGUGAGUAACCUGCCCUUGACUUUGGGAUAACUUCAGGAAACUGGGGCUAAUACCGGAUAGGAGCUCCUGCUGCAUGGUGGGGGUUGGAAAGUUUCGGCGGUUGGGGAUGGACUCGGGGCUUAUCAGCUUGUUGGUGGGGUAGUGGCUUACCAAGGCUUUGACGGGUAGCCGGCCUGAGAGGGUGACCGGGCACAUGGGGACUGAGAUACGGCCCAGACGCGUACGGGAGGCAGCGGUGGGGAAUAUUGCACAAUGGGCGGAAGCCUGAUGCAGCAGCGCCGCGUGCGGGAUGACGGCCUUCGGGUUGUAAACCGCUUUCGCCUGUGACGAAGCGUGAGUGACGGUAAUGGGUAAAGAAGCACCGGCUAACUACGUG